Molecule: unclassified non-coding RNA, 356 nt
Filed under: Hevea brasiliensis (rubber tree)
Lineage: Eukaryota; Viridiplantae; Streptophyta; Magnoliopsida; Malpighiales; Euphorbiaceae
Source: RNAcentral
GCAGGACCAAGGCCCAUUAUAGCACCGAUUCUAAUUGAAGGGUCCUCUUUGUCUAUAUAUUCAGCUAGAAGUGCCAAUGCAGGGUCACAUUCGUUCUUGAUACCACAGUUCACAAUCCCAACUCCCAAUAGUGCACCAGCAAUGACGUGGGUAUCAGUACUAUGAAAAUACUUGUCAAUUUGUGCAAGACCAGAAUCAACAUCCCAAAGCAGGAUCAUACCCAGACUAGCUGCAGCGCUAGCUUUUCCAUGUUCUUUAUUUUUGAAAAGCCAGCUUGUUGAGGCACCACCACUUGACGCCUCUGAGGGUACAGUCAUCAACUUAUCCUGACCAAAGCCAGCAUUGACAAAGGCAUU